GCGCGGAGCGGGCGCUGAGCUGCUCCAUGGAGCUUCCAGCCCUGCUGGAGCCGGCGGGCGCGGCACAGGCAGUACCGGGCGUGCGGUGGCAUUGCUCGGUGCCUGGCGGCAUUUGCCAUCGCCAGGGAGAAACUGAGCCCAGCCGGCAGCGCCGGCCCAUCCUCACCGCUCUAUUUCAAUUGCUUCAUGGAUUAAACCAAGGGGAAACUCCCUCUUGUCCGCAGUUCAAAGUCUUGAAUCAAGGGGAGAACGGAGGUUCCCCCUCAAUUUAGAUCCCUAAAUGAUGCAUAAGGAGGGUCUCCCCUCAGUUUAACCCCAAAUACAAACAGCGCCAUAAAGGUAUUCUACGUCCAUUUAAACAUGAAAAUCAAGGAAAGCAGUAAUUGCCUGCCAAGGCAGGCACGAAAAUGAUGAAAAAGGUGUCUUUUCCUUCAACUGAGACCCUUCAAAUCACAUGUGAAUGGGAAUCCUCCCCAGUUCAAACACAAUUACAGAAAAGCUUUUUGCCCCCUUUUGGGGGGCACUGGGGAGGGACUGGGGGCACUUCCUCCUUCUCACUGGCCGCCCCUGGGGCUGCUGCACCUUGCAGAGUGCUGAGGAGUUCCCUCCCAGUUCCCUGCCAGUAUCCCUCUUCCUGGCAAGCCCUGGGAGGGAUGGGGAGAGCACUGGGCAGGAGCUGGGAACACUGUUCCUUCCCAGGGCUCCUGAUAUCCCUCCCAGUGCUCCUGAUAUCCCUCCCAGUGCUCCUUCUUAGUCAUUCCCGCUGCUUCCACUCUCCCUCCCAGUUCCCUCCCAGUGUUCCCAGGAUCUCUUCCAGUGCUCCCAGCGGCAAAGCCCUUGGGGGCACGUCUUGGUUUGCUCUUGAAGAGGCAAGACUUGAGCUGUCAGGAGAGAAAGCCCGGCUGGAAAAGCAUUCCCUGCAGAGGAAGGUGUCUCCCCUCCCUGACCACAGAGGGAGCUCAGUCUCCGCUGUUGACUCCAAACCGCUCAAGCUCCGAGUCCGACUGCCCGAAACUGGCUCGGCCCCACUUCCCAGCGCCCUGCUCAGAGCUCACACGGCUGAGGGGGCGGUGCAGAUUAAAUCAUUAAUGCUCCUGGGCACUGCUUUAGCUCUGACCUACACACUGGCACACAGGAACAAAACCCCUAACGAGGAUGGGUUCCUCUUGCUGGCACAAGAAGAGAAGGAGAAAUCUGACAGGAAUAUUCUUCAUCAUUCUGCCCAGGCUUGGCCAAACACUCCAGCUCCUGCACCUCGGGAAAUAACAAGUGGCUUCUAAGAAGUGACUUUGAUGUCAGUGAGCAGGUGAUUAUGGAUUAAUCCCACACUGGAAAGCAGUCUUCACACCCUACUGCUCUUUGCAUCACCCAGAGAAUUGGAGGCUGCUGUCUGGCCAGCUCCUGAGUUGUAUCUUCCUUGUCAAUCUUAUUGAUUAAUUGUUUAAUUGUAAAAAUUGUAAAAACAUAAAUAAAAUGCAGGGAGCAUUGGCCCAGGGUCUCAGAACUCGCAUAUCUCUUCGAAAGAAAGGGGGAAAAGAGUGUUUCUCCCAAACCACAGAGUUUCAAAGUUCAUGUUAUCUACAUAUAUUUUUGAAAGGAGAAGAGGAAGAGGAAAAUAUCAAUUACUGUGCCAGUGGUGCUCCAGCCUAUUUCUGUUAUCUUCUUUCACUUGUAGCAUCUCUAAGAAUACUUUAAAAAAAAAUUGAAUUUAAACUGAAGGAGAAGGAAUCUGGCUGCAGGCUUCUAUUCGUGACAUCCAGCGGCGGUGGCGGAGCUCGGAGGCGGCUCCAGCCCAGGGUGCCAUCAGCGCGGGUGUAAAGCUGUUCCCGAGGCCGAUCUCUGAAAGGAUCUGCCGGCACUCCUGAUGUCUCGGGAGCAAGGCGCUGUUUGCUCCAGGCAGAGAGAUGCAGGCUGUGAGCUGGAGGAGAGUGAACUCUGCUCCAUUCAUGGUGCUGUGAAGGAGCACCUGCCUAUCCAGGAGGGACCAGCAGCCGGGGUUGCACACUUGCCUGCUGCGCAGGAAGCCACUCGGCAUAAGCAGGGGGAUGCCAAAUGUGAGCGUGCAGUGAGUGAAGAUGUGGAGAAUGGAUCCUGUACCAGUGGUGAGAGUGUGGGGGAGCCCUUGGAACCCCAGGAGGGACCAGCAGCCAGGGUUACACUCUUACCUGAGGCACAAGAAGCCACUUGGUAUCACCGACAUGUUUUAUGAAAAAUCCUUUCCUUAGGAUUUUUCCCCUCCUGAGAAACUGAGAGGCCUCAGGAACAAACUGUAAACAAUUCUUAUCUGCUGCUGUGGAAUGCAACAGGGGGAAUCUGUGAUUGGCCUCAUCAGGCUGUUUCCAAUUAAGAGCCAAUCACAGUUCACCUGUCCGGCCGGUCUCGGUCUGAGAGAAGACCUUUGUUAUUCAUUCCUUUUCUAUUCUUAGCUUAGCCUUGUAGUGAAAUCCUUUCCUCUAUUCUUUUAGUAUAGUUUUAAUAUAUUAUCUAUCAUAUAAUAAUAAAUCAAGCUUCUGAUACAUGGAGUCAACUUUCUCGUCUCUUCCCUCAUCUUCGAACCCCUGUGAACAAGACCACAACUUGGCAUAAGCAGGGGGAUGCCACUUGGGCAAUUGCAGUGAGUGAAGAUGUGAAGGAUGAAGCCUGCACCAGUGAUGGGAGUGUGAGGGAGCCCCUGGGUCCCCAGGGCACAUCAGCAACCGGCAAUGAACACAAAAGGGACCUGAGAAGAUUCCAGGGUGAAUGGUUCAGGUCCCAUCCCGUGGGCAUGGCGGUGCUGAUUCUGCUGCUCCUGCUGCUGGUGCUGGCUUUGGGGGUGGCCUUGGCUGUGCAGGCAGGUACACCUGCGACUCCGCUGUUGGUUCUGCGCUGUCCCCCUGGCUGGGUUGGGUUCAAUGGGGUCUGCUACUACUUCUCACGGGAUUAUGGCACUUGGGAGCAGGGUCAGGACUGGUGCUCUGAGCUCGGGGCUUCGCUGGCUGUUCCCAAGGAUGAGGACAUGGAUUUGGAAUGGCAAUUACUGGCUUGGGAUGCGCCAACGAGCUGAGAGUCUGCUGUGGGGGGGCAGCAGCAGCGACAGCUACAGCAACAGCUACUCGGCUGCUAUCACUGACACUUUCGAGUGUAUCUACUUGGCUUCCAAGAGCUUCUUCCGUGAUUCCUGCUCAGAUCAUCGGCUGCAUCUCUGCAGCAAGGCCUAAGCUCCCCUGUAACAAGGGCUGCAGAAAGGACCUUCUCCACACUGGGCAGUGCCAGCUUCACC
Molecule: RNA transcript, 3259 nt
Organism: Serinus canaria (Common canary)
Lineage: Eukaryota; Metazoa; Chordata; Aves; Passeriformes; Fringillidae
Gene name: C-type lectin domain family 2 member H-like
Exons: 6
Source: RefSeq, a predicted model, not a curated record